AAGUCAUGUUGUGAGAAAUGUCAUAACAAUCCCUUGUAACGCUCCCAAGCUUCGUAUAGUGACUCCUUUUAUAACUGAUGAAUAUUAUGUAUAUUUCUUUUAAGUUU
Small nucleolar RNA from Lactuca sativa (garden lettuce), 107 nucleotides. Lineage: Eukaryota; Viridiplantae; Streptophyta; Magnoliopsida; Asterales; Asteraceae. The record is from RefSeq and is a predicted model, not a curated record.